RNAcentral lists this ribosomal RNA (464 nucleotides) under Nullarbora evae. RNAcentral's name for it is "partial 28S ribosomal RNA". Lineage: Eukaryota; Metazoa; Porifera; Demospongiae; Poecilosclerida; Cladorhizidae. The record is from RNAcentral.
CAAAAAGACCGCGAAACCGUUAGGAGGGAAACGAAUGCAGCUGAAGCGGCUCCCCGUCAGGCUCAGGAGGAGGCGGAUGGGUUCCCGGCGGCGGGCGGAGGCCGAAAGAAGGCUCCGGUUCGCUGUCGGGGUCGGGCCCGUCGUCCACUCUGCACUUCUGCGGGGAGUCGGCCAACGGCAGUCGCCCCCGGCUCUGGAGGCGUUCCGGGGGAGGUGGCCCCGCGCUCCGGCGCGGGGAGCGUAGAGCCCCGGCGCCCGGCAGUCUGGGAAAAUGUUUCGAAAGAAGCGCUAAAAAAAGUGGGCGACUGAGGAGAGACGCUGCGGUCCCUCGCACGUCGCGGCGCGGGCCUUCCCGAAAGGGCUGGGCUGGGCCUCUUCCGCCGGGUCGGCAUCCGAGGCGGCGACUGCUCGUCAGUGGCCGUCGACGGUUCCGUCGCCUCCGGCGGGAGGCGGGUCACACCUCG